UACGUAGGGUCCGAGCGUUAAUCGGAAUUACUGGGCGUAAAGCGCACGCAGGCGGUCGGCUGCGUAGGUGGUGACAGUCCUCGGCUUACCUGAGGAAGCGCUGCCUAAACGGGUCGACUUGAGGACCAGAGAGGGACACGGAACUCCGGGUGGAGCGGUGAAAUGCGUAGAGAUCCGGAAGAACACCAAAGGCGAAGGCAGUGUCCUGGCUGGCUCCUGACGCUCAGGUGCGAAAGCUAGGGGAGCAAACAGG
Molecule: ribosomal RNA, 253 nt
Filed under: uncultured bacterium
Lineage: Bacteria
Description: partial 16S ribosomal RNA
Rfam family: Bacterial small subunit ribosomal RNA
Source: RNAcentral